GAUGAAGAACGCAGCGAAAUGCGAUAAGUAAUGUGAAUUGCAGAAUUCAGUGAAUCAUCGAAUCUUUGAACGCACCUUGCGCCCUUUGGCUAUUCCGAAGGGCAUGCCUGUUUGAGUAUCAUGAACACCUCAACUCUCAUGGUUCGCCAUGAUGAGCUUGGACUCUGGGGGUCUUGCUGGCCUGUGGUCAGCUCCUCUCAAAUAAAUCAGCUUGCCAGUGUUUGGUGGCAUCACAGGUGUGAUAACUAUCUACGCUUGUGGUUUUCCAUCAGGUAACCUUCAGUGAUGGAGGUUCGCUGGAGCUCAUAAAUGUCCCUCCUCAGCGAGGACAGCUUUUUGAACGUUUGAUCUCAAAUCAGGUAGGACUACCCGCUGAACUUAAGCAUAUCAAUAAGCGGAGGA
Molecule: unclassified non-coding RNA, 402 nt
Filed under: soil metagenome
Description: partial contains 5.8S ribosomal RNA, internal transcribed spacer 2, and large subunit ribosomal RNA
Rfam family: 5.8S ribosomal RNA (bases 1-121)
Source: RNAcentral